This 72-nucleotide transfer RNA is filed under the name Candidatus Niyogibacteria bacterium CG10_big_fil_rev_8_21_14_0_10_46_36. RNAcentral describes it as "tRNA-Phe". It matches the Rfam family "tRNA". From Rfam's summary of the family: Transfer RNA (tRNA) molecules are approximately 80 nucleotides in length. Their secondary structure includes four short double-helical elements and three loops (D, anti-codon, and T loops). The record is from RNAcentral. Lineage: Bacteria; Candidatus Niyogiibacteriota.
GCCGCGGUAGCUCAGUGGUAGAGCAGUGGCCUGAAGAGCCUCGUGUCGGGGGUCCGAUUCCCUCCCGCGGCA